Molecule: non-coding RNA, 239 nt
Organism: Pelobates cultripes (western spadefoot toad)
Lineage: Eukaryota; Metazoa; Chordata; Amphibia; Anura; Pelobatidae
Source: the annotation of a GenBank genome assembly
CUGCUCCAGGGGUGAGAUAGUCUGUAGUUACCCAGUGUGCCCUGCUCCAGGGGUGAGAUAGUCUGUAGUUACCCAGUGUGCCCUGCUCCAGGGGUGAGGGAGCCUGUAGUUACCUUCACAGAUGUUUGUGGAGACACAAACCUUUCCAUUUCUUACAGACUGCAUGUUAUGGAUGACAGCUUUGCCGUGGUUUCCAGCAUAUCAACAAAUAGGAGGAGUGAGAAUAAACUUUAUUUAGA